This 332-nucleotide ribosomal RNA is filed under the name uncultured eukaryote. RNAcentral's name for it is "partial 18S ribosomal RNA". It matches the Rfam family "Eukaryotic small subunit ribosomal RNA", at positions 1470 to 1796 of the family's 1831-position model. The record is from RNAcentral.
CCCUUAGAUGUUCUGGGCCGCACGCGCGCUACACUGUUCGACGCAGCGAGUCUUAACCUUGACCGAAAGGUUUGGGUAAUCUUCAGCAAAGUCGAACGUGAUGGGGAUCGAUCAUUGCAAUUAUUGGUCGUGAACGAGGAAUUCCUAGUAAGUGCAAGUCAUCAGCUUGCGCUGAUUACGUCCCUGCCCUUUGUACACACCGCCCGUCGCUACUACCGAUUGAAUGGUUUAGUGAGAUCUCUGGAUUGACGCUGGCUAGGGGGCGACCCUUGGCCAGACUGCUCGAGAAACUGCUCAAACUUGAUCAUUUAGAGGAAGUAAAAGUCGUAACA